CCCAUAGCACAAUGGUGUUCUUACCGAGAAUGAGGGCGAUAUAAAAUACGAAAUUCACACGAUUAACAUAUAAACGGUGUUCUUGCUCGUUACAUCAUCUUUAGACAUCGCGUAUCCUUCUACAUGUUCAAGUCAAAGAAUGUCAAAUGUCAAGAAUAUUAAACACUUCACAAAUUGUGUUUGUACUACAAAUAUUUAUUUGGUUCGACUGACAAUCAUUUUGAAGUAACAUGUAUUUAUUAUAACAUUGAAUACAUCCAGUUUGAACAAACCAAAUUUUGAAUGAUUUAAGAACAAUUUACGUAUUAUUCGGGUAAAUAUUUCGAAUGAUCUAGGAACAAUGAUUGCGUUGAAGCCGGCGUGAUCUGAAAUACAAUCAAAUAUAUGAUCCUCUGAAUACAAACAUUACCUAUGAUCUCAUAAUUAAAAACAAAAUCGUGCUUCGUAUGAACGUUACGUAGCAAAUAAAAUUACUAGGAAGUGUUUUAGCAGUGAAGAUGGAAAUGUAAUUCUUUGUCGAGCUAAUAUAGGUUCAAAGUCGAAAUGAAAUGAGUUUAUUGUUAUUGUUAUAGUUUAUUAUUACUACAUAGUACGACUACUACUACUACUACUAAACCGCUCUAUUACAGAUAGGAAUAUUUUUGUUAAUGAUUUUUUCAUAAGCUUUAGAGUACUCUCUCAUUGUUUCUAUGUGUAUGUUCCAAGCACUUGUUAAACAAAAGUAGUUAGAGCCGUUUAUUGAUAUUAUAUAAUUACGUCCAUUAUUAUUCUCUUGAAUUCAAUUAAUAGUGUUAGUAAAUAAUAAUAUGAUACAUAAACAUGUGCAAAUUAAAUGGGCCGUAUGCUCGUCUGCCUACAAGGGCAAAAAAAAAAAAAAAACAGAGUAUUGUCACUUAUUCUUUUUUUAAUGGUGUCAAUUUUGAAUGGCGACAAAAUGUUUGUCGACGUGAAUCACUGACCUCAGUCAACGUGCAUUACUCAAUCAACUUCUUACUAAUUUCAUGUCAUUCGAAUCUCUUUCAAUAUUUGUCGCUUUAAUUCAUUGUUUCUCGAAAAGAAAUUAUUUUGAUUUAGUUCAGAUUGGGCCGACAAAACACAGUUUUGUGCCUGUUUACCAUCUUACGAGACCAACUUAUGAGAUUGUAAUAUAUGUAAUCGUGUAUCGAGUAAUCGAUCAGCUUUAGGGCCUGACCUACAUUUUGUAAAUCAUCUUAUUCUGUAAAAUAAUUUCAAAAUGUAAUGAUCUGAUGAUGAUGACAUGCCUUUAGGGGACAAUCUUCUAAUUCAUUUAUUUAAGGUCAGACUGACAAUCAGUGAAAUCUUCAUGCUCAUUCCAUGGGGAAUGCU
Molecule: long non-coding RNA, 1347 nt
Organism: Bombyx mori (domestic silkworm)
Lineage: Eukaryota; Metazoa; Arthropoda; Insecta; Lepidoptera; Bombycidae
Exons: 2
Source: RefSeq, a predicted model, not a curated record